This 301-nucleotide ribosomal RNA is filed under the name uncultured bacterium. RNAcentral describes it as "partial 16S ribosomal RNA". It matches the Rfam family "Bacterial small subunit ribosomal RNA", at positions 509 to 809 of the family's 1533-position model. The record is from RNAcentral.
CAGUCGCCACGGUAAUACGUAGGUGGCAAGCGUUGUCCGGAAUUAUUGGGCGUAAAGGGCUCGCAGGCGGUUUCUUAAGUCUGAUGUGAAAGCCCCCGGCUCAACCGGGGAGGGUCAUUGGAAACUGGGAAACUUGAGUGCAGAAGAGGAGAGUGGAAUUCCACGUGUAGCGGUGAAAUGCGUAGAGAUGUGGAGGAACACCAGUGGCGAAGGCGACUCUCUGGUCUGUAACUGACGCUGAGGAGCGAAAGCGUGGGGAGCGAACAGGAUUAGAUACCCCCGUAGUCCCUGUCUCUUAUAU